CCUACGGGAGGCAGCAGUGAGGAAUAUUGGUCAAUGGGCGCGAGCCUGAACCAGCCAAGUCGCGUGAGGGUAGACGCUCCUAUGGAUUGUAACCCUCUUUUGUCGGGGGGCAAAAGACGCCACGCGUGGCGUUCCGAGAGUACCCGAAGAGAAAGCAUCGGCUAACUCCGUGCCAGAAGCCGCGGUAAUACGGAGGAUCCGAGCGUUAUCCGGCUUUUGUGGGUUUAAAGGGUGCGCAGGCGGAAGAUCAAGUCAGCGGUAAAAUUGAGAGGCUCAACCUCUUAGAGCCGUUGAAACUGGUUUUCUUGAGUGAGCGAGAAGUAUGCGGAAUGCGUGGUGUAGCGGUGAAAUGCAUAGAUAUCACGCAGAACACCGAUUGCGAAGGCAGCAUACCGGCGCUCAACUGACGCUCAUGCACGAAAGUGUGGGUAUCGAACAGGAUUAGAUACCCUAGUAGUC
RNAcentral lists this ribosomal RNA (459 nucleotides) under uncultured bacterium. RNAcentral describes it as "partial 16S ribosomal RNA". It matches the Rfam family "Bacterial small subunit ribosomal RNA", at positions 338 to 795 of the family's 1533-position model. The record is from RNAcentral.